Molecule: long non-coding RNA, 689 nt
Filed under: Nicotiana tabacum (common tobacco)
Lineage: Eukaryota; Viridiplantae; Streptophyta; Magnoliopsida; Solanales; Solanaceae
Description: long non-coding RNA (NTAB_LNC003271)
Source: RNAcentral
UCCCAUACGUAGGCGGACCUAUGAUCGCCCUGUAACACUAAUAGCUCAUCGGAGACAGGUCCGGGAUGCAUAGACGACACGUCCAUGUCGUAUACUGUAAAUUAAACAACAUUAAUUGUAUGUUUGAUCUGUAAAUUAAAUAAUUAUUUUUUAUAAUUAUAAGCUAUUUAAUUGGUCCGGGAUCCAGGCUCGAUAUUUGAUGCCCAGUAGGACCAAGCUAUCCUGAGGUCUUGUGUGUGUCAAUUUUAUUAUUUUUGUAAUUUUGUAUGUUUGUUUUGUAAAUUAAAUAAUUAAUUUUUAUCAUAUUUAAUUGGAUAGAGUAUAUACCUAUGGGUUCUAUGCUCGAUAUUUGAGGCUCAGUAGGACCAAGCUAUCCUGAGUUCUUGUGUGUGUCAAUUUUAUUAUUUUCGUAAUUUUGUAUGUUUGUUUUGUAAAUUAAAUAAUUAAUUUUUAUCAUAUUUAAUUGGACAUAGUAUAUACCUAUGGGUUCCAGGCUCGAUAUUUGAAUCCGAGUAGCACCAAGCUAUUGUGUGUUCUUGUGUGUGUCAAUUUUAAUACUAUCAGAAUUUUGUAUGUUUAUUUUGUAAAUGAAAUAAUUAAUUUUUAUUAUAUGUAAUUGGACAGAGUAUAUAGUUAUAGGUUCCAUGCUCGAUAUUUGAGGCACAGUAGCACCAAGCUAUCCUGAAUUC